CCUACGGGAGGCCGCAGUGGGGAAUAUUGCGCAAUAGGCGAAAGCCUGACGCAGCGACGCCGCGUGAGGGAUGAAGGUCUUCGGAUCGUAAACCUCUGUCAGAAGGGAAGAACGGUCACUGUGCUAAUCAGCAGUGACUUGACGGUACCUGCACAGGAACCACCGGCUAACUCCGUGCCAGCAGCCGCGGUAAUACGGAGGGUGCGAGCGUUAAUCGGAAUUACUGGGCGUAAAGCGCUCGUAGGCGGUAUGUCAAGUCAAGGGUGAAAUCCCCGCGCUCAACGUGGGAACUGCCUUUUAAACUGGCAAACUGGAGUGUGUGAGAGGAUAGUGGAAUUCCAGGUGUAGGAGUGAAAUCCGUAGAUAUCUGGAGGAACAUCAGUGGCGAAGGCGACUAUCUGGCACAUAACUGACGCUGAGGAGCGAAAGCGUGGGUAGCAAACAGGAUUAGAUACCCCGGUAGUC
This 465-nucleotide ribosomal RNA is filed under the name uncultured bacterium. Its description in RNAcentral is "partial 16S ribosomal RNA". It matches the Rfam family "Bacterial small subunit ribosomal RNA", at positions 338 to 795 of the family's 1533-position model. The record is from RNAcentral.